UUGUACAACUUUAGCAUGGCAUUAAAUAAUAAAAAAAUAUAAAACAUUCUCAUGUGCUAUACAAAUAGUUGAAGGUUAAUUGGCAGUAUAACUAAGUAGUAAUGCUGCCAGUCUUCUUCAGACAAAC
Small nucleolar RNA from Pipistrellus kuhlii (Kuhl's pipistrelle), 127 nucleotides. The record is from RefSeq and is a predicted model, not a curated record. Lineage: Eukaryota; Metazoa; Chordata; Mammalia; Chiroptera; Vespertilionidae.